UUAAUACACACCGAAAUAAUUUAAAGAAUUUAUUCAAAAUUUUCCCUCUUGUCGUUUUUCCUUGUCCGCCGUAUUGAAUCAGCAAUUUUGUAUUUUCAUGAUGAACAACUAGAGAAAAGGUUUUUAAUUACAAUUGUUUGUUCAAAAUACUUAAACUCUGGUGUCUUGUUUAUUUUCAAUCCAAUUCCGAUGUUCUUGGGCCCAUUCGUCCUUGAGGCCUCGAUGUAUAAAAUUAAGAAAACCGAUAUUCUCAGACUCAAUCCCGAAGCUGAAAACAAUUCGUCCCAGUUAAGAAGAUCAAAGCGGAGCGUUUUGAACCUCUGCUACGUGCUAUCUUGUGCAACCGGGUGUGACCCCUUUGAUUACUACGGAUACGGAUGUUACUGCGGUUAUUCAGGAUCAGGAUAUCCCGUAGACGGUAUUGACAGGUGUUGUAUGUAUCACGAUUGGUGCUAAGAUGUAGCCGACUACUGGCCUUCGUGGUUGAUGUACCUCGUUUAUUACCGCUGGAAAUGCCAUCACGGCUAUCUACCGAUAUGCGAUUACAAGCGGGGGUGGGGCCAAAGUUUGUGCGAAUGCGAUCGUGAGUUGGCAAUAUGUCUGAGUUCGUAUCCUUGCCCAACUACCCAACCUGAAUGCUGGUCUUAAGCCUAGAGACUGGUGCAAAAUUUAUUUAUGGUUAUGUAAAGUUGAACUACAGAUAUAGAAUUUAACGAACCUAUUUAAUUUAAGACUAUUUAAGACUAAUAAAACCUAAUCAAACCUAUACACAUACAUAUUAGGGGUGAUUUGGAAAAAAAUUUUUUUUUAUCCUUCCAAACAGGUUCGAAAGUUUCAUUUAGGUAUACAAAGACACCAGUUAAAAUUUCAGAUUAUAAUAUUAAUAUUAAGGGGUGGCUCAUCGCACUUUUCGAUUUUCCAUAAGAAUAACAUAGGAAAAAUGUUGUUUGCUUCUUCUAGUAUGCUGUUAAACAAAGCGUGUGCUGGAUUAUAGCCAUA
This is a long non-coding RNA of Neodiprion virginianus, 999 nucleotides long. RefSeq lists it as uncharacterized. The record is from RefSeq and is a predicted model, not a curated record. The transcript is spliced from 3 exons. Lineage: Eukaryota; Metazoa; Arthropoda; Insecta; Hymenoptera; Diprionidae.